This 406-nucleotide ribosomal RNA is filed under the name uncultured bacterium. RNAcentral's name for it is "partial 16S ribosomal RNA". It matches the Rfam family "Bacterial small subunit ribosomal RNA", at positions 29 to 526 of the family's 1533-position model. The record is from RNAcentral.
AUUGAACGCUGGCGGCAGGCCUAACACAUGCAAGUCGAGCGAGCGGCGGACGGGUGAGUAAUGUCUGGGAAACUGCCUGAUGGAGGGGGAUAACUACUGGAAACGGUAGCUAAUACCGCAUACCAUCAGAUGUGCCCAGAGGGGAUUAGCUAGUAGGUGGGGUAACGGCUCACCUAGGCGACGAUCCCUAGCUGGUCUGAGAGGAUGACCAGCCAUACGGGAACUGAGACACGGUCCAGACUCCGACGUGAGGCAGCGGUGGGGAAUAUGGCACAAUGGGCGCAAGCAUGAUGCUGCCAAGCCGCGUAUGUGAAGAAGGCCUUCGGGUUGUAAAGCACUUUCAGCGGGGGGGCGUUACCAGCAGAAGAAGCACCGGCUAACUCCGUGCCAGCAGCCGCGGUAAUAC